AUACGUAGGUGGCAAGCGUUGUCCGGAAUUACUGGGUGUAAAGGGAGCGCAGGCGGGCGUGCAAGUCAGCUGUGAAAUCCAUGGGCUUAACCCGUGGGCUGCAGUUGAAACUGUAUGUCUUGAGUGAAGUAGAGGUAGGCGGCAUUCCGAGUGUAGCGGUAAAAUGCGUAGAUAUUCGGAGGAACACCGGUGGCGAAGGCGGCCUACUGGGCUUUAACUGACGCUGAGGCUCGAAAGUGUGGGGAGCAAACAGGAUUAGAUACCCUGGUAGUCCACACUGUAAACGAUGAUUGCUAGGUGUGGGGGGUCUGACCCCUUCCGUGCCGCAGUUAACGCAAUAAGCAAUCCACCUGGGGAGUACGGCCGCAAGGCUAAAACUCAAAUGAAUUGACGGGG
Molecule: ribosomal RNA, 396 nt
Filed under: uncultured bacterium
Lineage: Bacteria
Description: partial 16S ribosomal RNA
Rfam family: Bacterial small subunit ribosomal RNA
Source: RNAcentral